RNAcentral lists this ribosomal RNA (486 nucleotides) under uncultured bacterium. RNAcentral's name for it is "bacterial SSU rRNA". It matches the Rfam family "Bacterial small subunit ribosomal RNA", at positions 29 to 536 of the family's 1533-position model. The record is from RNAcentral.
AUUGAACGCUGGCGGCAUGCCUUACACAUGCAAGUCGAACGGUAACAGGUCUUCGGAUGCUGACGAGUGGCGAACGGGUGAGUAAUACAUCGGAACGUGCCCGAUCGUGGGGGAUAACGCAGCGAAAGCUGUGCUAAUACCGCAUACGAUCUACGGAUGAAAGCAGGGGACCGCAAGGCCUUGCGCGGACGGAGCGGCCGAUGGCAGAUUAGGUAGUUGGUGGGAUAAAAGCUUACCAAGCCGACGAUCUGUAGCUGGUCUGAGAGGACGACCAGCCACACUGGGACUGAGACACGGCCCAGACUCCUACGGGAGGCAGCAGUAGGGAAUAUUGCGCAAUGGGCGAAAGCCUGACGCAGCGACGCCGCGUGGGUGAUGAAGGCCUUCGGGUUGUAAACCCUAGUCCUUGGGAAGAAGGAAGUGACGGUACCCAAGGAGGAAGCCCGGCUAACUACGUGCCAGCAGCCGCGGUAAGUGAGUAGUACA